RNAcentral lists this unclassified non-coding RNA (270 nucleotides) under fungal sp. Its description in RNAcentral is "partial internal transcribed spacer region". The stretch from base 1 to 46 matches the Rfam family "Eukaryotic small subunit ribosomal RNA", at positions 1786 to 1831 of the family's 1831-position model. The record is from RNAcentral. RNAcentral also lists the same sequence under 1 other name. Lineage: Eukaryota; Fungi.
AAGUCGUAACAAGGUUUCCGUAGGUGAACCUGCGGAAGGAUCAUUACUGAGUUUUGAAAAGGUUUACAGUCUCUCUUCGGAGUUGGCAGUAUUCCUUUUUCUUCUCUUCACCCUUUGUUAUUAUUUUCCAAGUUGCUUUGGCAGGGACGCUUGUUCCUGCCAAGGGACCUUUUUAAACACUUUGUUAUCCAACAAUUGGGAUGUCUUUUGUCUGAUUCUUAUGACUUGAAUAAGUACAUAAAACUUUCAACAACGGAUCUCUUGGUUCUG